GACGAACGCUGGCGGCGUGCUUAACACAUGCAAGUCGAACGGAAAGGCCCUGCUUUUGUUGGUCUCUCGAUUGGCGAACGCGUGUGUAACACGUGAGUAACCUCCCCUUGACUUUCGGAUAACUUUUGGAAACUGGGGCUCUUACCGGAUAUGAUCUCCUGCUGCAUGUUGGGGGUUGGAAAGUUUCGGCUGUUGGGUCUGGACUCGCGGCUUCUCCGCUUGUUUGUGUGGUAGUGGCUUACGAAGGGUUUGACGGGUAGCCUGCCUGAGAGGGUGACCGGCGACAAUGGGACUGAGAGACGGACCAGAAUCCUACGGGAGGCAGCAGUGGGGAGUAUUGCACAAUGGGCGGAAGAGUGAUGCAGAAACGCCGCGUGCGGGAUGACGGCCUUCGGGUGGUAAACAGAUUUCGCAGGUGACGAAGAGUGAGUGACGGUAAUGGGUAAAGAAGCACCGGCUAACUACGUG
RNAcentral lists this ribosomal RNA (468 nucleotides) under uncultured bacterium. Its description in RNAcentral is "partial 16S ribosomal RNA". It matches the Rfam family "Bacterial small subunit ribosomal RNA", at positions 28 to 507 of the family's 1533-position model. The record is from RNAcentral.